UAUAUGGGAAAAUAGUUCUUCAAAAUAGAAGGAAAACAGAUGAAACAAGAAGAAAACAUUCAGAUUCCCUAUGAAAUGAUGGCAGAGAUCCAUGCAGCGGGUGUCUCUGAGGUUAGGAAUGGGAUUCUUGGGAAACUGAUGCAUCCCAGACCUCCUCCUGAAGAUGUGUCCCCUCAUUUCCACAAAGUUCUUCUAUCUUCAGCAGGAAAUGGUAAUUCCUACCAACCCUAAUUAGUGGCCCUUUGAAGCUCUCCACUGGGUUCCAAGCCACUGUAUCUCCUGAGCUUUUUGAGCUUUCUGCAUGAGCAGUCUGAAUGACAUCUGGACCUCUGCCUCAUUCAGUGCACGGGACAUACACACGUGAGAGAUUUCAGAGUGCGUAAGCAACCACCAGUUUAGCAGUUCCUGACAUGGCUUUUUCAUCUAGUGUAAUGCUUUUAACAGUAUGUUACUUCUUUUCAUGUCUUUUCUUCUUCACAUUGUUGAUCUUUUCUAUAGAAAGAAUAGCAAGAUAAGAUAGUAAUCCUAAGAAAAUGAGAUAUAGAGGCAGUCCUCUGUUUCCACAAGAUUUGAACAUUAGAUGCAUCUGUGUCAUCUAUGCAAUCAUACCUUUUGCAAACACCCAGUUAGAAAAAUUUGGAAUCCUCCCUGUUAUUGUCUGGUACAUGACACGUACUCCUCUUUGCACUACAUUAUAUCAUAAGCAUGAAAGUAAGUUAUUCAAAGCACAAGUAAUCUCUCAAAAUGCUAUUAAUUUGGAAUCAAGAUGCUCCUAAGGGAUAUUAUUUGUUAUCUUCAUUUUUUUUCCCCAAAGAAAAUCUGACAUCAGUUAUUCCUUAUCAACGAGUUAAAUUUUUUGUGGGUUGCUUUUUUCUUUUUCUUUUUUUUUCUUUUUUUCUUACAAUGCAUGGAAGUGUAAAGCAAAAAACACUGCAGAUCAAACAUAUAGAUCAUGUAUUCUUUUCCUUAUUCUGCAUACCAGCUUGGUUCCAAUUCUUUUUAAAUAAAUAUGCUUCUAUAUUUUAAAGCAGAUAACUAUUUUGUCAUUUUGGAAUACCUUCAAAACCACUUUUGACUGACUGUCAUAAACAUUUGUCUAAAUGAAAGCAGACAUGGCUUUCUUUUCAUGACAUUAAU
This is a long non-coding RNA of Pseudopipra pipra, 1137 nucleotides long. RefSeq lists it as uncharacterized. The record is from RefSeq and is a predicted model, not a curated record. Lineage: Eukaryota; Metazoa; Chordata; Aves; Passeriformes; Pipridae. The transcript is spliced from 3 exons.